This 558-nucleotide long non-coding RNA is filed under the name Arabidopsis lyrata. Its description in RNAcentral is "long non-coding RNA (ALYR_LNC000143)". Lineage: Eukaryota; Viridiplantae; Streptophyta; Magnoliopsida; Brassicales; Brassicaceae. The record is from RNAcentral.
CGCUUGCUCGAGUUCAAGCUGGCCAAGCUGACUCUUCAGCUUCUCCUCCAGAGCUUUGACUUGUGUAUCAUCCAUGGAGUUUUAUUCAAACAAUUUCAAUGGAACUCUGAUUCUUGAUACUGCUCUAAAUUCGAACAAGACAGAGAUUAAGGUUAGGGUUUUAGAGACCUGCAACUUGCAAUAAAGCUUCAACUUUUGUUGUUCAAGGAAGACGCAAUUUUCUCGGUUUUUGAGGGCGGGUCGGAUCGGGUACGGUUCGGUCCUACCAUUAACCAACUCUAAAUCGAAUCGAAUAGACACAAAGCCGGUAUCUAAACCCCAGACACUAGGAUCUGCGAUUGAAAGCCGGUUUGGAUCUUAAGCGACACGGCGCGUUUUGCUUCUUAGAGAAUGGGUCUUGGACUUGGGCUUCGAGGAGAGUCCAGCCCAUGACAACCUCAGGCCGUUAAUCUGUUUUUUUUUUUUUUUACAAUCGGCCGUUAAUCUGUUGUAGACAAGUUUUCUCUUCUCUUCUCCUUCCAAAAGAGAGUCAGAUAAUUUUACUUGUUUGAGCAAAAA